This 1074-nucleotide ribosomal RNA is filed under the name Triticum aestivum (bread wheat). RNAcentral describes it as "partial small subunit ribosomal RNA". Lineage: Eukaryota; Viridiplantae; Streptophyta; Magnoliopsida; Poales; Poaceae. The record is from RNAcentral.
AUGGCGGCGGCGGCGGCGGCGACCACCAACGGCGACGAGGCGGCGGCGAAGGCCACCAGAGACAAAGAGGCAGCCGCCGAGGAGGCUUACCAGCGCGCGGAGUUGCUCUACCACGCCGGCAACUUCAUGGGGGCGUGUCGCCACGCCCAGAGGGCCCAGCAGCUCUUCCCGGCGCUCCCAGGCGUCGCGAACGCGCUCGCCGCCUACUCCAUCCACGCCGCCGCGGCCGCUGGCCGCCCCGGCCGCCCCAACUGGCAGGCCGUGCUCGCCUUGGAGAAGCAAGCCACCCCCACGCGCGACGCGAUCAGGAGGCAAUUCCUGCGGCUGUCUCUCCUCGUCCACCCUGACAAGAACCGCUCUGCCGCCGCCGAGGGCGCCUUCAAGAUCCUCCGCCAGGCGUGCGACACUGCCCUGAUGUUUGCCGGCGACCGGAAGGACGCCUCCGCUACCGCGCCGCAGUCGUCCAGACCGCGCAGCUCUGCCGCCGGCGACACCAAUGCCGACACAAACAGAAACAGGCCGCCUUCCGGCGCCGAACACAGGCCGUGCCAGUCUACCGCCGGCGACACCAAUGCUGGCCCAAACAGAAAUAGUCCGCCUGCCGGCGCCCAACACAGGCCGCGCAGGUCUACCGCCGGCGACACCAAUGCUGACACAAACAGAAACAGUCCCCCUGCCGGCGCCCAACACAGGCCGCGCCGGUCUGCCGCCGGCGACACUAAUGCCGACACAAACAGAAACAGUCCGCCUGCCGGCGCCCAACACAGGCCGCAGAGGUCUGCCGCCGGCGACACCAACGCCGACACAAACAGAAACAGGCCCCGCAGGUCUGCUGCGGGCGACACCGAUGCCGGCACAGGCAGAAACAGGCCACCUGCCGGCGCCAAAGGACACGGACAGCGCGGGUACCAGUCGAUCUACUGCUGGCACUGCAAGCGCGAAUUCGGGCGGCAGAUAGGCCCCGUCGAGGAGCUGGUGGGCACGGCGUGCCCACGGUGCAACAUGCGGCUGAGGCCGCCGUGGGAUAGGAAGACACUGCUGGAUUUCACCGUCCUGGAAGCGUUCGCACGCUGA